AGGGAUUAUUUGUUGCACUCUGCGUGCGCAUUUGUUAUGCAACCGGCUUACAACAGGAGUAGCUAACAUCCUUAUCUUGAAAUUGCCAUAUUAAAGUUGUUUUAACUUUCAUAAUGUCGGAUGCCUUGCUUCGAUGGUGUGUGGACCAGUUGCACCACAACUUUGGCUUGGAGGCCAGUGAAGACAUAGUCCAGUAUAUUCUGUCCAUCGACAAUGCGGACGAGAUAGCGGAGUAUGUUGGGGACCUCCUUCAGGGCACCGAUGGAAGGAAGAAGCAGUUUAUAGAUGAACUCCUGGACAGGUGGCAGCGGUCUCAGACACUGACUCCUGACAGCACUGGCCUGUUCCCCAUGAACUCUCUGUCAGGAUCAGAUGCUCAAGACAUAUCCAAGGACACCCAGAAGAAAUCCAAGCGCAAGGGUAGGAACAAGCAAGAGGUGAUGGCUGUUAGCCAAGCAGAGCCUGAGCCUGAGGUGGUGAAAACUCCCAUUGACCUAAUGAAGGCCCAGGAGAGCGGCAGCACAUCGUCACAGAAGAAGAAGAAGAAGAACACGUUUGUGAGCCUCUACAAUAAAGAGGGCCAGGACAAGCUGGCUAUCCUGCUGCCCGGGCGCCAUUCCUGCGAAUGUCUGGCCCAGAAGCACAACCUCAUCAACAACUGCAUGAGCUGUGGACGCAUUGUGUGUGAGCAGGAGGGAUCAGGGCCCUGCAUCUUCUGCGGCAGCCUGGUAUGCACCAAAGAGGAGCAAGAGAUUCUGCAACGAGACUCCAACAAAAGUCAGAAACUGCGCAAGAAACUUAUGGAGGGGGCAUCGGAGAGGGGCUAUCUUCCACACCAAGAGGCAAAGAUGAAGGCAGGGUUAGAAAAGGCCCUUCAACAUAAAGACAAACUGCUGGAAUACGAUAAGAACAGUACGCGACGAACGCAGGUCCUGGAUGACGAGUCAGACUACUUUGCCACUGACUCCAACCAGUGGUUGUCGCCUAGCGAGCGCGAGCACCUGAGGAAGAAGGAGGAGGAGCUACGGGAGCUUCGCCACGCCUCCAGGAAGGACAGGAAGAUCACGCUGGACUUCACAGGCAGACAGGUGCUUGACGAGGGAGAGAAUAACAGUCAUUACUACAACAAGUUUGACGAGACUGUCAAGGCCCUCAACACAGGCACCAAGGGGAAAGCUCCCCAACGCCCUGAGGGACCCGCGGGACGGCAGCACCUGAGAGAGCUGGUCAACCCCAACAUCGUACAGGCUGCACCAAAGUGGGUGGACGUGGGUAGUGGCCCUCGGAGAUCUCAGGAUAAAGGGGUUGUUGGUACAGAGGGGGACGGCGCUGUAGGCCCAGAACGCUCCAGACUCCGGCUGCAGGACAGAGAGCUGCAGGAGAUGGCAGAUGGGGGCUGGUGCCUCAGCAUGCACCAACCAUGGGCCUCGCUACUGGUCAAAGGAAUAAAGAGGGUGGAGGGGAGGAGCUGGUACACAUCCCACCGCGGGAUCCUGUGGAUAGCAGCUGCAGCCAAGAGGCCCACCCCUGAGGAGGUCACUCAGGUGGAGAACAUGUUCCUUCAGAUCUACAAGAGAGAUCCUAAGUUUCCUAAAGACUACCCCACCAGCUGCCUGCUGGGCUGUGUCAACAUGACCGACUGUCUGUCUCAGGAGCAAUACAAGGAGCAGUUUCCUCAGACAUGCGAGGAGUCUGGCUCUCCGUUCGUCUUCAUCUGCACCAAUCCUCAGGAGCUGCUGGUGAAAUUCCCCAUGAAAGGGAAACAUAAGAUCUUCCAAGAGAAGACUAUGCAAACAGUGAGCUGUGUAUGCCCUGUGUGGUUGAGCAGUGAUCCAGCAGUGACUCCAAACAGACCAUGACUCCAGUCCUCAUUAUAACAGUAGGACGGACCACCUGAGGACCGAACAUAAAUAAUGCAGAGAGAACCAGAGUUCUGCCGCCACCACCUCGCUGACAAACCCUUCCCCCUCGACCACAUGGUUGAACCCCUAGCCCUGGAGGGCAUGUCAAGCUGGAGAGUCAAUAUCAUAGGGGUGCGAAGAUGGGACUGGUUCCGUCUGCGGCCGUGUGACGUUGGCGAGAGAGAGCGAGAAAGCAAAGAGAGAGUGUGGACCAGCUGGAGGAGAGGCGGAGUUUGACGAGAACAUCCAGAGAGGGUCAUAUUCUGACUACUGUGUUUUAUCAGGAGUUCCAGCAAAAAAUAAAUAUGGACACACUGGCUAUACAUGGCAUCCUCUCAAGGGAUUUACAGUUUAAGGACGAUGACUAAGCAGACAUUCACCACACAGGAAAGUUAUUACCAAGUUCUCUACAUUCUAUACUGUGUACUCUUGAACAGUUGUAUUUUCUGCAAUAAACAAUGUUGAAAUUAAA
Molecule: non-coding RNA, 2373 nt
Organism: Salmo salar (Atlantic salmon)
Lineage: Eukaryota; Metazoa; Chordata; Actinopteri; Salmoniformes; Salmonidae
Source: RefSeq, a predicted model, not a curated record